CAAAAGGCCAAAAGACAAAAAAGUCGGCAAAAAAGGCAACAAAUAAUCAAACAUAACAUUCUGGGUGAAAAUUCUUUCUCCUUUUAAAAUAUGUAGGUAAGACCUUUUGUCCCUACUAAUUUAACUUUUCUUCGAUAUAUUGUCUUUCAUUUUUAAUUUCAUUCCUGGAGCAGCAUUUGAAAAGGGCCCAACAGGUUUUGUUCUUUUUUUCGAAAUCGCUUCGAGGGUCUAACAGCAGCCCACCCACGCAAAUGAACACCGUUAUCCGAAAGAUUGAUGUUUGCUCUAUCUGAAAACUGUCUUGGUUUUUGUGAAUAAGUUGAUGGGGGCUCAGGAGCGACGUGUCAAGUCAUUGUUUACCAAUGCGUGUAUGCCCUUUUCAAAUGUUGCUCCAGAUUUGUACGAUUUAUCUUUUCAGCUUCAGCAUUUAAGAAGGGCGUAACUGGUUGAUGAUACGGCUCCUUCUUCUAUGGAUGUAGAUUGCAUGUUACCCCUCUAAUGUAAGCCAUCGAAAGAGGAGCAUUCUUUUUGUCUAGAAGUGCCACGCAACAGCUUUGAAAAAAGGUGUUGUGUUGGAAAGCAGUUACGCAGUUCUUGAAAUGCUGAGGCUGAGAGGACAAAAUGUAGGAAUGCAAAAAAAAAAAUCGAAGACAAUAUUGCGCGUUUCGCCGUAGAUUAUCGCACAAAAAUGUUCAAAAUCGCUAAUAGAUCGUCGCCAGUACAUCAUAUCGUGUCCGUGUCUUCUUCAAUAAAUGCGGAAUAUAGCUAUUGAUUGACCGCGCAGAACACACUGAAACGAUUAAAUGUAACCACGCAUAUCUAUUUACAUUUUUGCAUAACCUUGCUCGAUAAUUUUUCUUGUAAUGUAUAGUAGGUCGAAAAAAAUAAAAUUAGUAGGGACAAAAGGUCUUACCUACAUGUUAAAAAAAAGAAAGAAUUUUCAUGCAGCAUUUUAUGUGUGAUUUUGUAUUUUGGCCUUUCAAUAUUUUGGUUUUCUAUACUUUUAACUUACGCCGUUUGGCACACAGACAUAUUUCUUUUUGUUUAAUUUGUGGUUGCCCAUAUUUUGACUAUUGUUUUGAAGCAGAUUUUCUAUAUAGAGAGCAGUCUUGUGCAUUAUCACCAUCAUAACACAAAAAAGCCGCAACAUCAACAUUGCCCUUCUUCCUCCAUCAACGCUACAGCCGACCGUCUCUAAGUUGCUAUCGAACACAUUCGAGACGAACGCAUUGAUACGGUGGCUGCCGCCGCCACGCUCUUUCUCUGCAAAUCUCUUGAGUAGCCGAACGCUUCUUAACCGUCGUUCCGACCCAGAGCUAUGUCACUCACUCCUGGGUGACUCUCGCCUGAAAAUGCAAGGAUGAGGGUCAAUUUGUUAAGUAGUAUUGCAUGGCGCAGAAAACACAAACAUAGCACGCCCUAUGAAUAGAAUGCAAAGCGUAGAACAAAAACUCGCUUCGGUGUUUCAUCGUGUGGUUCGAAAACAAGAGACGAUCGCUGCUGUUGGAUGUGGUUGACUCUGCAUUGAACGAGGGUUGGCUUGAAUGGCUUUUGCGUGAAUCGAUUAUGUUUUGAUGGACUGCGUUUGUCGUAUGAAGUGAUGGUUAGAGCGCGUGUCAUUCGACAUUGACCAUCCUGAAACUGCACAACCCUGAUAGAGAGUGUAUGCUCUUCAGUCUACAUAUAUCGGUACUAACAUUUCAAAAUGGCGAAACUGCUUGCCGAAACCAAACCUUUAUCUCUCCGUUGCAAUGUACAACCACUACUGGACGGAGGAAAUGCAAUUCUUCCCGAUAGUGGUUGUUGGUGCCCAAGGAAAGAUGAGAUACGAUCUACAGCUAUGGGAGAAGAUAUUGUUUUGAAGAUCAGUUACGUCCUUUUGAAAUGUUGGUGCUGAUAUGCAUGUGAAUACUAUCGCUAUGACUGACAGUAAUACGAACAUCUAUUGACAUGUGGAAUCACAACACAAUACACACUUAAAACUGAUUCUCGAGCUCGGCAGAAAUAUUUACUGAUUUCGAACGGCAAUUCUUAAUUUUGCUGAUAUUUCAGCAAACAAAAUGUUUAUGCCGAGAUUGUUCAAACCAUUUUACCGAAAUAUCAGCAAACUGCUUUAAAAAUUGCAAAACUGACAGCAUUUUUUGCUGAACCUGUCGGUGAACACGGAUUUUACCGAAAUCAGUAAACGAGAUUACUGAGAUAUCAGCAAUCAUGUCACCCUUUGCUGAAUUUCGGUAAUACAACUGUCACUUUUGCAGGCGCCAUGUUUCGGAAAAAAAAAAACAAAACAACAAAUCAGUGGUAGUGGUGCUGAAGCCACAUGAAGCGCAUUUGCAAAAGAUUAAGAAGUCCAAACAGAAAAGCAGACACACCCAUUAGUAGCUGUUUUUGGAGGAGCAGUGGUACGCCUUUGCAGUAGCAAAUCUUGAGAUGAAACCCUCGGAUGAAAGAAUGUUUCCGGCGACAAAAUACAUAUUUUUCAUUGCUACUCUGUGGACAUGGACAAUGCAAAAUAAAUGUUCGAGAAUAAAACUUCUUUAUUGCGCUUUCGUGCGGGUUAAGAACUCUUCUUUAUA
Molecule: long non-coding RNA, 2576 nt
Organism: Aedes albopictus (Asian tiger mosquito)
Lineage: Eukaryota; Metazoa; Arthropoda; Insecta; Diptera; Culicidae
Exons: 2
Source: RefSeq, a predicted model, not a curated record